This 260-nucleotide ribosomal RNA is filed under the name Pseudomonas aeruginosa. RNAcentral describes it as "partial 23S ribosomal RNA". It matches the Rfam family "Bacterial large subunit ribosomal RNA", at positions 1 to 261 of the family's 2925-position model. The record is from RNAcentral. Lineage: Bacteria; Pseudomonadati; Pseudomonadota; Gammaproteobacteria; Pseudomonadales; Pseudomonadaceae.
GAUUAAGUUAUUAAGGGCGCACGGUGGAUGCCUUGGCACUAGAAGCCGAUGAAGGACGUUACUAACGACGAUAUGCUUUGGGGAGCUGUAAGUAAGCUUUGAUCCAGAGAUUUCCGAAUGGGGAAACCCAGCAUGAGUUAUGUCAUGUUAUCGAUAUGUGAAUACAUAGCAUAUCAGAAGGCACACCCGGAGAACUGAAACAUCUUAGAACCCGGAGGAAGAGAAAGAAAAUUCGAUUGCCUUAGAAGCGGGGGGGUAGG